AAACGUAGGAGGCGAGCGUUAUCCGGAUUUACUGGGCGUAAAGCGCACGCAGGUGGCUUCGUAAGUCGGACAUGAAAGCUCCUGGCUUAACUGGGAGAGGUGGUUCGAUACUGCGGGGCUUGAGGUUGGGAGAGGGACGUGGAAUUCCCGGUGUAGUGGUGGAAUGCGUAGAUAUCGGGAGGAACACCAGUGGCGCAAGCGGCGUCCUGGCCCACACCUGACGCUGAGGUGCGAAAGCGUGGGGAGC
RNAcentral lists this ribosomal RNA (247 nucleotides) under uncultured bacterium. RNAcentral's name for it is "partial 16S ribosomal RNA". It matches the Rfam family "Bacterial small subunit ribosomal RNA", at positions 523 to 769 of the family's 1533-position model. The record is from RNAcentral.